RNAcentral lists this ribosomal RNA (656 nucleotides) under uncultured Thermoplasmatales archaeon. RNAcentral's name for it is "bacterial SSU rRNA". It matches the Rfam family "Archaeal small subunit ribosomal RNA", at positions 6 to 658 of the family's 1478-position model. Lineage: Archaea; Methanobacteriati; Thermoplasmatota; Thermoplasmata; Thermoplasmatales. The record is from RNAcentral.
GGUUGAUCCCGCCGGAGGCCACUGCUAUUGGGAUUCGAUUAAGCCAUGCGAGUCGAAUGGUGCCCGCAAGGGUAACCAUGGCGUACGGCUCAGUAAAACAUGGAUAACCUGCCCUCAGGUGGGGGAUAACCUCGGGAAACUGAGGAUAAUACCCCAUAGGUCUGGGAAGCUGGAACGCUCCCAGGCUGAAAGCGUUAACGCCUGAGGAUGGGUCCACGGCCUAUCAGGUAGUAGUAAGUAUAAAGGACUUACUAGCCGACGACGGGUACGGGCGAUGGGAGUCGGAGCCCGGAGAUGGACUCUGAGACACGAGUCCAGGCCCUACGGGGCGCAGCAGGCGCGAAAACUUCGCAAUAGGCGGAAGCCUGACGAGGGAAUCCCAAGUGCCACCGGCUUUGCUGGUGGCUGUUCUUCAGUCCAAAAAGCUGGAGGAGUAAGGGCUGGGUAAGACGGGUGCCAGCCGCCGCGGUCAUACCCGCAGCCCAAGUGGGGGCCACUAUUAUUGGGUCUAAAACAUCCGUAGCCGGCCUUGUAAAUGCCUAGGGAAAUUGAGUGGCUUAACCAUUCGAAGUCUAGGUAGACUGCAAGGCUUGAAACCGGGAGAGGUCAGGGGUACUCUUGGGGUAGCGGUAAAAUGCUGUAAUCCUGAGAGGACC